Molecule: ribosomal RNA, 497 nt
Filed under: uncultured bacterium
Lineage: Bacteria
Description: partial 16S ribosomal RNA
Rfam family: Bacterial small subunit ribosomal RNA
Source: RNAcentral
GAUGAACGCUGGCGGCGUGCCUAAUACAUGCAAGUCGAGCGAACAGAUGAGGAGCUUGCUCCUCUGACGUUAGCGGCGGACGGGUGAGUCACACGUGGAUAACCUACCUAUAAGACUGGGAUCACUUCGGGACACCGGAGCUAAUCGCGGAUAAUCUCUUGAACCGCAUGGUUCAAUAGUGAAUGACGGUUUUGCUGUCUCUUAUAGCUGGUUCUGCGCCGCAUUAGCUAGUUGGUAAGGUAACGGCUUUCCAAGGCAACGAUGCGUAGCCGACCUGAUAGGGGGGUCGGCCACACGGGAGCUGAGACGCGGUCCAGACUCCUACGGGAGGCAGCAGUAGGGAAUCUGCCGCAGUGGGCGAGAGCCUGACGGAGCGGCGGCGCGUGAGUGAUGAAGGUCUUCGGAUCGUGAAACUCUGUUAUUAGUGAAGAACAAAUUUGUAAGUAACUAUGCACGGCGUGACGGUACCUAGUCAGGAAGCCACGGCUAACUACGUG